UGGGAUCUCAAAGGACCCUGUGCAGCAGGCCACUAUUUGAAUGUGUGUUGCUCCUUGUGGCAGGUAUACUGUUCCAAUGCCCUGGGAUCUCUGUAGUGGUCGGUACUGUAUUGAUUAUAAAUGGUGAAGUCCUAGUAUCUUGCUAGAGUGAGCUGGCCAGGAUGGUGGAGCUCUACCACCAUUUCACAGGUUAUAGACAGGGGCCACCAGGUUUCAGGAAAGCAGCAAUGACCCCUCAGUAAUAGUUGGAAAGUGUGAUAUGACACUGAGCUUCACUGUGUUGGUGAAGAAGAGCUGCAGUUUGCCUCCACCUCUGAAGAAGCACAAUACACCUUUCUGGGUUACCAAUGGGAUACUUCCCAACAGCUUUGUCAUCACAUACAAUAUUCUCAAACAAGAUCUUAAUGGCAUCUACUUUCUCCAGGAACACAGCCCCUGACCUGUGUGUGUUUGCGUAGAGAAGGCAUGCUAUGUACCCCCUAGGAUAUCAAGAUUCCUGUAGCAGAUUGAGCUCUGGCAGUUGAUCUCAGUGGCUUGAUAGAGUGUCAUUAUAAAAACGCACCUGGAAGAUUCUGUGGAAAAGACAACCUCAGAAGACCAAGAGGCUGACUUUGCAAGAGAGAGUCCGUUUACCACUUAGAACCGUGAACACCACCCCCGCCCUCAUUUAUCUCCAGACUUGAACUAGUGGUUAAAUCCCAACAUGUCCCAGAGAAGUCAAAAGCAUUGUAAAAUCUGGGAAUCUGCCCACCACUCAAGCCUGGGAAAGCUGGCAGAGGAUGCACGUGUUUUACUCACCUGAGUGUUUACAAUGCUCGUGAGGUGCCUCCCUGAUAUUUCACUUGACUUGAAUGGACAAUUCCUAAUGCUGUUCAGCUACUGUCAGCAGUAAUGCCUUAAGGUAAUGAUAGCAUCUCACAGUUCAGUUUAAGGAAGCAAUACAGAGACAUGCAAAUCAUCCCUAAGACAUGAGUACUCCAUGUGAGGGUGUUGUGAGGGCCUAAGAAGAAAGACAAUCAUUUGGGACAACGUUCUGAGAAGGGAGAUGGUUGCUGCCCUCGUGGAUUUAACAGACUUGGUUAUGUGGCUAGUUUUCUUUUUCUUCUUCCAUACCUGAACUGUGGUACUCAAGAGAAUCAUCUGAAGCUUGUGUUGGACAGGACAGGCAAUAACUUCAAACUGAAUAAUGAGGCCCAAGAUGGACAGUCCCUCGUUGAGGGUCAGAGCCAGCACCCUUGUAGACUGUGACUACUAGGCCAACUCCUAGAGCUAGAGUUCCAUAUGGACAAGGACAAGCUCUAGCUAGAUCAGAGCAAUUUCAUCACAAAGCAAGUUUUAUUUUCAAUCAUCGCUGCAGACCACAAAGGUCAGGCUAAAUAUCGACAGAUCUCUAUUGUGGGAAAAUUUGGACUUUUGGCUUAUUAUCAGUACUCAACCUUGAUAGGCAGCACCAGAUUAACUGCUAAAGAUUCUAUGCAUCUUUAUCUCAUUAGCCUUUUACAUUUUAUCCUGUUUCUUAGCCUCGGCUGGGGGACGGGUACAGUCAACUCCCACUGGAGCAACAACAUAAAAGGUGGGAAGGAAAAUGUUUAUGUUGACACCAGGGUAGUGAAAGCUAUCCAAGCUAUGGGGAAUUUAAUGCUGAGGAAAGGCAAGAUCAGGGUGGAGCAUCCGGCUGGGGUAGCUGCCUUUCACUGGACCCCUACCAGCCCAGUUUGGGACAUGCAAGGGGAACAGCACAUAGAUAAAGCUUUCUCAAGGUUUAUGAAAGAACAGACGGCAGCACAGCUAACCUCCAGUGCAAAUAAAAAUCAUACAUUUAAGGAAA
This 1828-nucleotide long non-coding RNA is filed under the name Homo sapiens (human). RNAcentral's name for it is "long intergenic non-protein coding RNA 616". Lineage: Eukaryota; Metazoa; Chordata; Mammalia; Primates; Hominidae. The record is from RNAcentral.